This 381-nucleotide ribosomal RNA is filed under the name uncultured bacterium. RNAcentral's name for it is "bacterial SSU rRNA". It matches the Rfam family "Bacterial small subunit ribosomal RNA", at positions 29 to 401 of the family's 1533-position model. The record is from RNAcentral.
AAUGAACGCUGGCGGCGCGCCUAAUACAUGCAAGUCGAGCGAGAAGACGUAGCAAUACGUUUGUAAAGCGGCGAACGGGUGAGGAAUACAUGGGUAACCUACCCUCGAGUGGGGAAUAACUAGCCGAAAGGUUAGCUAAUACCGCGUACGCUCCUUGGACUUCGGUUCAGGGAGGAAAGCGAUACCGUGGGUAUCGCGCUCUUGGUUGGGCUCAUGUCCUAUCAGCUUGUUGGUGAGGAACGGCUCACCAAGGCUUCGACGGGUAGCUGGUCUGAGAGGACGAUCAGCCACACUGGCACUGCGACACGGGCCAGACUCCUACGGGGAGCAGCAGUAAGGAAUAUUGCGCAAUGGGCGAAAGCCUGACGCAGCGACGCCGCG